UUGCUCGCUUCAGCAGCACAUAUACUAAAACUGGAACGAUACAGAAAAGAUUAGCAUGGCCCCUGUGCAAAGAUGACACCCACAUCUGUGAGGUAUUCCUUUUUUUU
This is a small nuclear RNA of Heterocephalus glaber (naked mole-rat), 107 nucleotides long. NCBI's taxonomy places the organism in Eukaryota, Metazoa, Chordata, Mammalia, Rodentia, Bathyergidae. The record is from Ensembl.